AUUGAACGCUGGCGGCAUGCCUUACACAUGCAAGUCGAACGGUAACAGGUCUUCGGAUGCUGACGAGUGGCGAACGGGUGAGUAUACAUCGGAACGUGCCUAGUAGUGGGGGAUAACUACUCGAAAGAGUGGCUAAUACCGCAUGAGAUCUACGGAUGAAAGCAGGGGAUCGCAAGACCUUGUGCUACUAGAGCGGCCGAUGGCAGAUUAGGUAGUUGGUGGGAUAGAAGCCUACCUAGCCGACGAUCUGUAGCUGGUCUGAGAGGACGAUCAGCCACACUGGGACUGAGACACGGCCCAGACUCCUACGGGAGGCAGCAGUGGGGAAUUUUGGACAAUGGGCGCAAGCCUGAUCCAGCAAUGCCGCGUGCAGGAUGAAGGCCUUCGGGUUGUAAACUGCUUUUGUACGGAACGAAAAGCCCUGGGUUAAUACCCUGGGGUCAUGACGGUACCGUAAGAAUAAGCACCGGCUAACUACGUGCCAGCCGCCGCCGUAA
This 497-nucleotide ribosomal RNA is filed under the name uncultured bacterium. RNAcentral describes it as "partial 16S ribosomal RNA". It matches the Rfam family "Bacterial small subunit ribosomal RNA", at positions 30 to 523 of the family's 1533-position model. The record is from RNAcentral.